GACGAACGCUGGCGGCGUGCUUAACACAUGCAAGUCGAACGAUGACGACCGAGCUUGCUCGGUCUGAUUAGUGGCGAACGGGUGAGUAACACGUGAGCAACCUGCCCUUCACUCUGGGAUAACCUCGGGAAAUCGGGGCUAAUACCGGAUAUGAGCUCCUGUCGCAUGGCGGGUGUUGGAAAGUUUUUCGGUGAAGGAUGGGCUCGCGGCCUAUCAGUUUGUUGGUGAGGUAGUGGCUCACCAAGGCGAUGACGGGUAGCCGGCCUGAGAGGGCGACCGGCCACACUGGGACUGAGACACGGCCCAGACUCCUACGGGAGGCAGCAGUGGGGAAUACUGCACAGUGGGCGAAAGCCUGAUGCAGCGACGCCGCGUGAGGGAUGACGGCCUUCGGGUUGUAAACCUCUUUCAGCAGGGAAGAAGCGAAAGUGACGGUACCUGCAGAAGAAGCGCCGGCUAACUACGUG
RNAcentral lists this ribosomal RNA (467 nucleotides) under uncultured bacterium. RNAcentral's name for it is "partial 16S ribosomal RNA". It matches the Rfam family "Bacterial small subunit ribosomal RNA", at positions 28 to 507 of the family's 1533-position model. The record is from RNAcentral.